This is a long non-coding RNA of Larimichthys crocea (large yellow croaker), 5151 nucleotides long. RefSeq lists it as uncharacterized. The transcript has 3 exons. The record is from RefSeq and is a predicted model, not a curated record. NCBI's taxonomy places the organism in Eukaryota, Metazoa, Chordata, Actinopteri, Sciaenidae.
UUACAGUUGGGUUUAUUACGUGUAUUUUAUUGUUGGCUUCAUGUUCAUUCAUUUUCAUCAAGUGUGAGUUCAUUAAGAGAGCUGUGUUUGUGACUGUAGUUGCUUUGAGUAGCCACAAGGGGAAGCUUCAUGUCGAGUAGAUACGGGAAAUUCAGGGAGGGUGUGCUUUGCAUGCUGGGACACUGAUGCCACACCGAUCUGGAUUUAUUUUCAUGGACACGAGUUGUAUGUUUGUGUUAUGAGAACUCCUGGACGGCUGCGACCGGGGAAAUUGCUGUGACUUGUUUUGUUUACCGAGGACUCCGAAAUUAAUUGAUAACUUCGAAGAGGAUGCACAACCCUUCAUCCUCCUCAUCUUUGUGAAGAGUCACACCUGGAUCAGAUAAGAUCUGAACAAGGCAGGCCCCAGGUGGUGAGAAUCUGCAGCCACACCUUCUCCUCACUGAUACACAGGUGCAAAACAAGACUGUGUGCUCAGCCCCCCUGUACUCCCUGUUCACUUAUGACUGUGCUGCCAAGCACAGCUCCAGUGUCAACAACAGCACAACCAUCCUGGACCUUAUCAUGGACAACGAUGAGACAGCCUAGAGAGAGUAGGUGAAGACACUAACCAGCCCUGCCAGAACAAGAACCUCUGUCUUAAUGACGGCAAAACUAAAGAGAACAUCAGGGAUGGACACCUCCCCAUCCACAUUGGGGAUGCUGAGGUGGAAAAGGCUCGGCAGCUUCAAAUUCCUCUGUGUGCACAUCACAGAUGACCUCUCCAGGACACUACACACUGACACCAUGGUCAAGAAGGCUUUGUUUCAUGAGGAGAAUGAGCAAGUUUGGCAUAAAUGCCAGAAUCCUCACAAACUUCUACAGGUGCACCAUUGAGAGCUUGCUGAUGGGUUGCAUCACAGUCUGGUACAGAAACUGUUCUACCCACAGUAAAUCACUACAGAGUGAUGAAAUCUUUGAACCGAACCAAAUGCGCCAUUACCUUGAAAAUUACGUAUUUCUCUGGGUCUGAACACUGUUGGAAACAAUCCAAUAUGGACUGGGAUAAUCUAAGUAUACAAAUCAACAAAAUAUAUAAAAUAGGUCUAGUCAUAUUUAAACAUUUACAGUAUACCUUUCAAAUGUGACAAUUUUUUUUUACAAAGAUGUGUUGUAAAGAUUUUAUAUUAUUGAUUUAUUUUGAUAUCAGAAGUAAUUAAAAACUGCAACCUUCAGGGCAACAGUUUAAAAAAGGUUAUAGAUUCUUUCUUUUUUUUAAAAUAAAAAUUGCAGGGCCAAAUAUCUUUAAAAUUGCCAGAAUAAAUCAAAACUUUUUGUGAAAUAAACUAAAAGACAGAAUUGGGACAUUUUACAAUGGUUUGUUUGGUCAUUGUUGGUACAUAUAAAUGUAUUUAUGUUGACCUUAUGUCAAGCUUAAAUUGUUUUAAAGAGUGCAGGAAUGCAGUAUAUAUGAAAAAAAAACCUCACUGUAUUUGGGAAUUAAUACCUUCAUGUUUUCCCAAGUAAAAAAAAAAAGAUGGCUAUUCUUUGUCUGCAAAUUGGAUCGUUGGAUGAAGAAGACAAGCUCAAAAUGCCACUUCAUUGAGCUGCAGUGUGCCAGAAACCAAUAAAUAAUUCUCAAAAUGAAAGAAAGCAGCCUGAAAAGAUCAUGCCGUUUUUAUCAUGGAUAUCCAAAGCAAUACUUUAUUGUUAUUAAAAUCCUGUGCUCCAUAGACAGUACCUCAUAUUCCUCUGAAGAGCUGUUUUAAUAUCCUUAUAAUUUAAUAUCCUCAGCAGGAGUCAUUUUUAUCUCUCUGUCUGACACUGCACCCUGCAACUUACAUUUACUGACAGCAAAUGUAGAUGUAGUGCAUCAAGUGACAGUCCUGAAUAAUAAUUACAUGGCAAUGAUAUGUGCAUAGUUUAGUUUUUUUCAUCCACAAGGGUGGUUAAUGAAUGUUGAAUUUGCUGAAAAUUGCAUGCUAAGAAUCAGUUUUGCAUAAUAGUUUUAAGAGUUCACGGCUUGCAGGGAAGGUCAACAACUCAUUUGAUGAAAUGGGAUUUUAAUUCCUGUUUGAGAUUAUUUACAUUGGGCUUAUUCACACAGCACUAGUUUGCACUAAGGCAGUUUUUUCUGAGUGCUGUCUGGACAUCGAGUAUGACUGUACUGUUUAGAUGUGUGUGUCUGUUUUGGAACAAGGGUUGAUUAGAUUGAGUUUGAGAGUAUGUAUGUAUGAAGACAUUUAAUUUCUGGUUUAAUAGUUGGACCACAACAUCGUCUGUGGCUGAACAGCUUCAGAAGCUUUCACAGAUUGUGUCUGGAUUUAUUCUCUUGUCCACCUCGCUGCACUCACCUUCGAUGUCUAAAAUGAUCCAUGACCCAACCCUCAGGAUAUGUGUGGGUGGGUGGGAGGUGAUCUUCCCUUUUAAGCACAUACGUACUGCACACACAGCCAGAUCAGAUCCCGAAUAGGGCAGUAACAGUCAGUGUCUGUGUUUCUUUUAUUUUUUACUAAUACUUUGUAAAAGGUGCUCAGGAAUAUUUUGUAUUUUUUUUUUUUUAAAGUGACCAUGUUAUACAUAAAUUCAAUUUGUUCUUGCUAUGAAAGUGAUGGUACUGCUUACCUAUACAAACAAGCACACAGAAAAGGAAUUUAGGCUGCAAGAAAUGGACAAUGUAUUCUGACUUUCAGGUUUUCCUUUAUGUUGAAUCAAAAGAAGUUCUGUGAUUCUUUUUUUGUUGUUGUUUUGUUUUGUGUGUGGGAUUUAUUGACAUCUAGCGGUGAAGUUACAGAUUGCAACUGACUGAAUACCCCUCAUGUAGCCCUUCCAAGGAGAGACUUAAUGGGGAGAACCUAUAGUGUCUGCAAAACUUGCAAAAUGCGAAAGGCCCUAUCUAGAGGCAGUGUUUUAUUUGUGACUGUCAAAACAUGGUAGUGAUGACUGACUCUGUGGGAGAGGACUCACUCCUUCUGUAGAUAUAAAUUACUCAUUCUUAGGUGACAAAAACACAAUAACUCUUACUUUUAAGUGAUUAUACGCUAAUAAAAACAGUUAGGAAUAUUGUGGUGAAUACUGGUAAAGUAGGACACUUUGAUAACAACUUAACACCUCAGUUAAUACUAUUCUACAUAUCUUAGAACCUCUUCUAUACUGAAAACCAAAUUUUCAAAGCUCUACUGUCAAACUAGGACAUGUUUAUUGGCAAACUGGGACAUUUAAAAUGCAUCCAAUUGUUAUUCAAAAUAGGCCUGAUGAAUAAAAUACACAAUAAUAUAAACAAUAAUAAUAAUGAUAACCAGCAAUAUUUUGUAUUUUGUUAAAUCUAUUUCAUAUUGCUGUUAUGGGCUAGUUUAUUCCACAAAUGCUAAAUUUCAUUUCUGCUUUUUGUAUGAAAGGUUACUCUACUGUACAUGUUAAUAAAGCCGGUGCAAGUAAAUGUCUUUCUGUCUUAGCAUUGCAAGCCAGCUCAAUAUAACCGGUUUAAAUAAAUAUUUCUUAAAUUAUCUAGCAAGCUACUUAAAUUUGUGAGGGACACAUAAAAAAGGAAACUCAUUUCCCCCAUUAGAAUGACUUGGAAUAGCUGUCCCAGUUUGCCAGUAAUAUACCGUCACAGUUUAACAAUAUGCUAUUGGCAACAACAAUAUAUACAUGUAAAGAUAAAAAUGAAGCUUAACUGUCCCAUUUAUUCACCCUAUAUUCUAUUUAUGCUCUAUACUGCUAACCGAUCCUCUUAAAUCUUAUGCACAUUUGGAAUUUCCCCCAUGACUAUUUCCCAUAGUUCAGUGCCUAAUAUGUCUUUUCUCAAGAUAAAAUUGUACAUUGAAUGGCCCUUUGAGGUGACCAGCAAGGCAGACCUGGGUCAUAGAUGAGAUGUUUAAUCAACAUCUUGAUAUGCCACAUCUGUGAGGUGGAUUAUUAUCUUUACAAAGGAUAAAGCCUCAUUAAAAGAUAUUUUACGAUAGAAAAUAAACCUUCUGUGUGCAGAGAAGAAGUCUUAGAUCUUUUACUUCAAUUCAUGAAAAAUGAGAGCAAAUACAUUUUUGUAGGUAGUUAGACUGAUAAUUUCUAGAGUAGGUCAGUGGCAAAAUGGGUAAUAAAAUCAAUUCUUCCCUUUUCCUAUUGAUUUUUUUCCCACAUUUCUAAGAAUGGUGGGAGACAGAAAACAUCUUGACAUUCCGCUUUUCCUCCAACACAGUGCAUAUUGCCGCAGGGUGCCUUAUUAAGAGGUGUUUGGGAAAGAUGUUUUCGAGAGUAUGUUUCAAUUAUUGACAGGUAGGGAGUAGCUAAAACUAUCAAUGCCAAAAAUGAAAGUAGGGCUGACUGCAAAUACUCCUGUGUUCAAUACAUGCAUCCUCUUAAUAACCACACCUAUUGAUUGGCUCAUUUUAUCACUGUUGUGUAUCAGUACAGUAGCAGUACUGUGGUAGCAGCACAGUAUAUACCAUAUACAUUUUACCCUAAGCAUUUUGCUGAGGCUCAAGCAGGAGACCUCUAUGUCAGGCAUCAGUUUUUUGGGGUGGGUUUUAACUGAUCUUAAAGAAAUUAGGUGCUGUUUACUCUCCUUAUAUACUGUAGCACACCAAGACUUAGAAUGCAUGGUGAAAUCUACACAGUGUUAGUGAAACAGAGGAAACUGUCUAUCACUUCUCUACACGUUCUCCAUUACUAUCCAGCCUUGGUCUUUGUAUUCCAUACAUUGUUCAGUAUGCUGACUUUUACCUUGUUCACAAAGGACUAGUAUUUGUAUCCAAUGUAAUUAAUUUCCUCCAAAGUAUUGCAUUUUGUGAAACAUAUUUGUUUGGAAAAUAGCUGAAAUCACCAGUUCCGAAACACAACUGUGUGAAACUUUGUCACUGUCUGUGAAAGAAAAGCCAAUGUUUCCACUGAAAAGAGUUCAGCUUGCAUAAAAUAGUAUUGUCUGGGGAUGUGAUCAACAAAAGUUAACUGUUCGGGUACAUAGUCUUCACACAUUAUGCCAUGGAAGCACACAGCUAACUCUAUAAUGAUAACGGCUGAAGAAAGAGAGACAUCAUCAUCCACAGUCAAACCACAGGUGGCCUAUGUCAUUCAUCUUCUGAACAUCAGGAGCAGCCCAUUUUCCUCACGUGGUGACUACCAGGUAGGAUAUCUCAUUAGAUCACACAACACAGUAAAGCAGGCCACGUGCCA